RNAcentral lists this ribosomal RNA (770 nucleotides) under uncultured bacterium. RNAcentral describes it as "bacterial SSU rRNA". It matches the Rfam family "Bacterial small subunit ribosomal RNA", at positions 28 to 794 of the family's 1533-position model. The record is from RNAcentral.
AUUGAACGCUGGCGGCAUGCUUUACACAUGCAAGUCGAACGGCAGUACGGGUUUCGGCCUGGUGGCGAGUGGCGAACGGGUGAGUAAUACAUCGGAACGUACCCAGAAGUGGGGGAUAACGUAGCGAAAGUUACGCUAAUACCGCAUACGUUCUACGGAAGAAAGUGGGGGAUCGCAAGACCUCAUGCUUUUGGAGCGGCCGAUGUCUGAUUAGCUAGUUGGUGAGGUAAAGGCUCACCAAGGCGACGAUCAGUAGCUGGUCUGAGAGGACGACCAGCCACACUGGAACUGAGACACGGUCCAGACUCCUACGGGAGGCAGCAGUGGGGAAUUUUGGACAAUGGGCGCAAGCCUGAUCCAGCAAUGCCGCGUGAGUGAAGAAGGCCUUCGGGUUGUAAAGCUCUUUUGUCAGGGAAGAAACGGUAGAGGCUAAUAUCCUUUGCUAAUGACGGUACCUGAAGAAUAAGCACCGGCUAACUACGUGCCAGCAGCCGCGGUAAUACGUAGGGUGCAAGCGUUAAUCGGAAUUACUGGGCGUAAAGCGUGCGCAGGCGGUUUUGUAAGUCUGACGUGAAAGCCCCGGGCUCAACCUGGGAAUUGCGUUGGAGACUGCAAGGCUUGAAUCUGGCAGAGGGGGGUAGAAUUCCACGUGUAGCAGUGAAAUGCGUAGAGAUGUGGAGGAACACCGAUGGCGAAGGCAGCCCCCUGGGUCAAGAUUGACGCUCAUGCACGAAAGCGUGGGGAGCAAACAGGAUUAGAUACCCUGUAGU